AGCAGCCGCGGUAAUUCCAGCUCCAAUAGCGUAUAUUAAAGUUGUUGCAGUUAAAAAGCUCGUAGUUGAAUUUCAGGCCUGGCUGGGCGGUCCGCCUUUUGGGUGAGUACUGCCUGUGGUCGGGUCCUACCUUCUGGCGAAGCGUCAUGGCCUUAACCGGCCGUGGCGGGGAACCAGGACUUUUACUGUGAAAAAAUUAGAGUGUUCAAAGCAGGCAUUCGCUUGAAUACAUUAGCAUGGAAUAAUGGAAUAGGACAGUGGUUCUAUUUGUUGGUUUCUAGGACCGUUGUAAUGAUUAAUAGGGAUAGUUGGGGGCAUUAGUAUUCAAUUGUCAGAGGUGAAAUUCUUGGAUUUAUUGAAGACUAACUACUGCGAAAGCAUUUGCCAAGGAUGUUUUCAUUAAUCAAGAACGAAGGUUAGGGGAUCGAAGACGAUCAGAUACCGUCGUAGUCUUAACCAUAAACUAUGCCGACUAGGAAUCGGGCGAUGUUGACAAAAUGACGCGCUCGGCA
Molecule: ribosomal RNA, 512 nt
Filed under: uncultured Paraglomus
Lineage: Eukaryota; Fungi; Glomeromycota; Glomeromycetes; Paraglomerales; Paraglomeraceae
Description: SSU rRNA
Rfam family: Eukaryotic small subunit ribosomal RNA
Source: RNAcentral